UGCUCGUCCCUCGCAACGAUAGGUUGGAAACUCCGCCAGGCCCGGAAGGGAGCAACGGUACCUUCUGAUUCGUGUGCCGAGAUUAGGCGGGUGAAG
This 96-nucleotide signal recognition particle RNA is filed under the name Thiomicrospira sp. RNAcentral's name for it is "signal recognition particle sRNA small type". It matches the Rfam family "Bacterial small signal recognition particle RNA". From Rfam's summary of the family: The signal recognition particle (SRP) is a universally conserved ribonucleoprotein involved in the co-translational targeting of proteins to membranes. Archaeal SRP consists of a 7S RNA and homologues of the eukaryotic SRP19 and SRP54 proteins. In most bacteria, the SRP consists of a 4.5S RNA and the Ffh protein (a homologue of the eukaryotic SRP54 protein). The record is from RNAcentral. Lineage: Bacteria; Pseudomonadati; Pseudomonadota; Gammaproteobacteria; Thiotrichales; Piscirickettsiaceae.